CAACUACUCCCUCUGUCCCAAAUUUCUUGUCUUAGAUUUGUCUAGAUACGGAUGUAUCUAAUACUAAAAUGUGACUUGAUACAUCCGUAUCUAGACAAAUAUAAGACAAGAAUUUUGGGACGGAGGGAGUACUUU
Non-coding RNA from Triticum aestivum (bread wheat), 135 nucleotides. NCBI's taxonomy places the organism in Eukaryota, Viridiplantae, Streptophyta, Magnoliopsida, Poales, Poaceae. The record is from Rfam.